AACUCAAGAUUAAUGAAAAAAGUUCCAAUUUCUUACAGAAAGUUUGCAGAGAAUAGAGGGGGAGAAAGGAAAACAGAAAUUUUAUUUCAUGCCGUAAUUUCUAACAUUUAUACCGUCACACAGAGUAAGUGUGCAACAGAUGCAUGCAGGACUGCAUGCCUCCUCCCCAAGCUGAUAAUCCAGUCAAGCCUCUUUAUUAGGCAAGUGUCUUUGCAUACGUGAUACUAAUGGCU
RNAcentral lists this long non-coding RNA (233 nucleotides) under Chinchilla lanigera (long-tailed chinchilla). Its description in RNAcentral is "lncRNA (ENSCLAG00000025237.1)". Lineage: Eukaryota; Metazoa; Chordata; Mammalia; Rodentia; Chinchillidae. The record is from RNAcentral.